AGCAGCCGCGGUAAUUCCAGCUCCAAUAGCGUAUAUUAAAGUUGUUGCAGUUAAAAAGCUCGUAGUUGAAUUUCGGGGUCAGUAGAUUGGUCAUGCCACUGGUAUGUACUGGUCUCACUGAUUACUCCUUCCUGAUGAGCCGUAAUGCCAUUAAUUUGGUGUUGCGGGGAAACUGGACUGUUACUUUGAAAAAUUAGAGUGUUUAAAGCAGGCUAACGCUUGAAUACAUUAGCAUGGAAUAAUGAAAUAGGACGUUCGAUCCUAUUUUGUUGGUUUCUAGGAUUGACGUAAUGAUUAAUAGGGAUAGUUGGGGGCAUUAGUAUUCAAUUGUCAGAGGUGAAAUUCUUGGAUUUAUUGAAGACUAACUACUGCGAAAGCAUUUGCCAAGGAUGUUUUCAUUAAUCAAGAACGAAAGUUAGGGGAUCGAAGACGAUCAGAUACCGUCGUAGUCUUAACCAUAAACUAUGCCGACUAGGGAUCGGAUGAUGUUAAUUUUUAAUGACUCA
This 506-nucleotide ribosomal RNA is filed under the name uncultured Glomeraceae. RNAcentral describes it as "SSU rRNA". It matches the Rfam family "Eukaryotic small subunit ribosomal RNA", at positions 569 to 1078 of the family's 1831-position model. Lineage: Eukaryota; Fungi; Glomeromycota; Glomeromycetes; Glomerales; Glomeraceae. The record is from RNAcentral.